RNAcentral lists this ribosomal RNA (264 nucleotides) under uncultured bacterium. Its description in RNAcentral is "partial 16S ribosomal RNA". It matches the Rfam family "Bacterial small subunit ribosomal RNA", at positions 93 to 354 of the family's 1533-position model. The record is from RNAcentral.
GACCGGCGGACGGGUGCGUAACGCGUAUGUAACCUACCUUUGACAGGGGGAUAACAUCGAGAAAUUGGUACUAAUACCCCAUAACAUCACCGGAGGCAUCUUCGGUGGUUGAAAACUCAGGUGGUCAGAGAUGGACAUGCGUUGUAUUAGCUAGUUGGUGAGGUAACGGCGUCACCCAAGGCGACGAUACAUAGGGGGACGUGAGAGGUCAACCCCCCACCAUUGGUACUGAGACACGGACCAAACUCCUACGGGAGGCAGCAG